GUAGGGAAUAUUGGGCAAUGGAGGCAACUCUGACCCAGCCAUGCCGCGUGCAGGAUGACGGUCCUCUGGGUUGUAAACUGCUUUUAUACGGGAAGAAAAAAUACUACGUGUAGUAUACUGACGGUACCGUAAGAAUAAGGAUCGGCUAACUCCGUGCCAGCAGCCGCGGUAAUACGGAGGAUCCAAGCGUUGUCCGGAUUUAUUGGGUUUAAAGGGUGCGUAGGCGGAUCUUUAAGUCAGUGGUGAAAGCCUGCAGCUUAACUGUAGAAUUGCCAUUGAAACGGAAGAUCUUGAAUGUGGUUAAAGUAGGCGGAAUGUAUCAUGUAGCGGUGAAAUGCUUAGAUAUGAUACAGAACACCGAUAGCGAAGGCAGCUUGCUGAACCAUUAUUGACGCUGAGGCACGAAAGCGUGGGGAGCGAACAGGAUUAGAUACCCGGGUAGUCC
RNAcentral lists this ribosomal RNA (445 nucleotides) under uncultured bacterium. RNAcentral describes it as "partial 16S ribosomal RNA". It matches the Rfam family "Bacterial small subunit ribosomal RNA", at positions 354 to 796 of the family's 1533-position model. The record is from RNAcentral.